UAAAAAAAGUAAAAAUGAGUAUAUCCUCGCGGCGAUACUCGGCACCGAGAUUGGGUUCCGAUUAUUAUUAACCGGGAUCGCCUGACGCCGACAAUGUUUCACAGGCGGGGGAUUUUUCUCCCUUGGGUGAGAUCGUAGAAUCGAAGAUCAUCAAUGACUGUGAGUGACGCCGGCAGGUCCUGGUCCUCCGUCCGGAUUGGUUACCUUCAGGAACGAACGGCUAGGCCAUUAGGGAUGCGAUUCAAAGUAUGAAGCCCCAGAACCUUUAUCUUAGGACUUUGUCAAGUGUCAUGGCGCUUCAAUGAUUACUUAAGUGAAGAGUUUCUCCUCUUGAUCUGGAUGAGCUUGUCAAACACACACCAUGGAAAGCUCAGGAAAUGAUCUCUUUCCAUUCCCUUGUUGCAGCGACCCCAGUAAUCAGGAUAAUAUGUAACAUGGUACCAAGCUGAUGCUUUUGCUGAUUCUACAUCAUUGAUAUCAGGCUUCAUAUCCGACUGCAUUCCCAGCUUCUCAUCAAACCAGGUCCUGGCUUCCUUUCUCAGUGCCUUUAUA
Molecule: long non-coding RNA, 552 nt
Organism: Prunus mume (Japanese apricot)
Lineage: Eukaryota; Viridiplantae; Streptophyta; Magnoliopsida; Rosales; Rosaceae
Source: RefSeq, a predicted model, not a curated record